RNAcentral lists this ribosomal RNA (427 nucleotides) under uncultured bacterium. RNAcentral's name for it is "bacterial SSU rRNA". It matches the Rfam family "Bacterial small subunit ribosomal RNA", at positions 355 to 774 of the family's 1533-position model. The record is from RNAcentral.
UGGGGAAUAUUGCACAAUGGGCGCAAGCCUGAUGCAGCCAUGCCGCGUGUAUGAAGAAGGCCUUCGGGUUGUAAAGUACUUUCAGCGGGGAGGAAGGGAGUAAAGUUAAUACCUUUACUCAUUGACGUUACCCGCAGAAGAAGCACCGGCUAACUCCGUGCCAGCAGCCGCGGUAAUACGGAGGGUGCAAGCGUUAAUCGGAAUUACUGGGCGUAAAGCGCACGCAGGCGGUUUGUUAAGUCAGAUGUGAAAUCCCCGGGCUCAACCUGGGAACUGCAUCUGAUACUGGCAAGCUUGAGUCUCGUAGAGGGGGGUAGAAUUCCAGGUGUAGCGGUGAAAUGCGUAGAGAUCUGGAGGAAUACCGGUGGCGAAGGCGGCCCCCUGGACGAAGACUGACGCUCAGGUGCGAAAGCGUGGGGAGCGAACA